This 723-nucleotide unclassified non-coding RNA is filed under the name Yarrowia lipolytica. The record is from RNAcentral. Lineage: Eukaryota; Fungi; Ascomycota; Dipodascomycetes; Dipodascales.
ACAUCAACACGAUCAACAGAAUGCGAACCACUACACACAUCAAAAGCAAUCAAUAUGUACACAAUAACCAACUCUGCUUCGGGUCGAGAACCGGAUCAAGCCAUGGAUCUUUUGAAUACCGAAGGUGCCGAUGAACAAUUGGAAUUGUACUGGAGAAGAUGGAGAUCAGGACAAAAUUCAGCACAGGUGUGAAGGAAUUCGACGAAGUGAACAGAUACAUCCUUAGAAUAGAGGACACAGAAGAAACUAAAGGUAUCAUGGACGAAACCCCAGACAAGGGCUCCGAGGAAUCAGAGCAGUUGGAGGUGGGAAAUGAAGGUGAGAUGAGGGAGAAUACGUAGAGUUCUUACCUAGCGCCAUAAGUUAGUUCAAGAGCACGGGCGCAUCCUGAUGCUAGGAAGCGGAAGAAAGAAAGAACUCGCGGAGUUGCGAGGAAAUCGUAAGGGGCUCACGAGCUUCCGGAGGAUCUGACACCAAACGAGCAAGUCAACAAAAGCGGAAUGCCAAUGGCCGCCUACAUCGCACUAAACUGUCAAAAAGCCAAAACCAAAGCCCGAUGAUGAGUCUACUGGUACUGUAGUUCAGACGAGGGGCAUAAUCAAUUGCCACGAGAUCACACCAUGUUCUUCCAUGACAUGUGACAAUCACAACCCGGGUCCGGGUCUGCUGACGAGGAUGACGACAACAACGACGAGGGAGGGUGAUGGUGGUUUUAUGUGGUCU